This is a long non-coding RNA of Talpa occidentalis (Iberian mole), 909 nucleotides long. RefSeq lists it as uncharacterized. The record is from RefSeq and is a predicted model, not a curated record. The transcript has 6 exons. NCBI's taxonomy places the organism in Eukaryota, Metazoa, Chordata, Mammalia, Eulipotyphla, Talpidae.
CAAACAGAUGAAAACUCAAAGAUGAACAAACAUCAAGAAACAAUCUUUUACUUGCUAAAGACCUUAAAGGAUAGGAUAAUACCUUCAGGGGAAAAAAAAAGGGUUCAAUAAUUACAACUGGAUGUUUAAUUGUUGCCUGUCUUCACACCCCAGGACGUGUGCAGAUGGGGAGUGUGUCCAUCUUGUAUAGAUCUGCAUCCUCAGGGCUCACACGGAGUACGAAGCACCAUAAACAUCCAACACACGUCUCCUCAGCAUAAGUCAGACAAGAUAGAAUGUAUGGAAUGGAGGCAACAGCAAAGAAUGCUGUAUGCCUGUUGCUCCAGGGAGGCAUGAAUGAUUACCAACCAGAGAGCCCCUACCAUUUACAGGCUUGCUGCCAAUUUGCAAAUAUUGUCUCACAACACUUGCAGAUGAGGCUGAAGCAGGUCGGGCUCCUUGCCCAGGGUCACCUGGCCCAUGAGGAGCACACGUGGAACUAGAACCCAUAUCCUGAAACUAAUCUUUCCUAUAUACGCCACUGCUGCCAAUAAAGACUACUUUAAAUUAGUAACUACCGAUACUAUGAGGGGAUUUAGCAGUCAUCAGCUCUACUUCAAGGGGGUAGACGAUGGAUAAAAAUCAUGAGCAACUUCCAUGCUUUGAGAACAAUACUCUCAAACCUACAUCUGAAUCCUGAGAUCUCAAAAACGGUCACUAAAUAUAAUUUACAACCCUAAACAAUUGUUUGCCGAUUUUCAUUUUACAAAGUAAAAACCUGAAGAUAAAUAAUCAUCACAAGGCUGCAUAUUGCUGACAUCUGGGCCAGAUUACAUCAAACACUGCCUUCCUGUUCAACACUGCACGAGAGAAUAAAAAAAAAAUUCCCCAAUUUAAACCUGUCCCUAGAGCCAUAAAGAAAGAAAAACU